AGUAUGAUGGUUUAAUAAUUUAUUAAGAUUUUUAAAUUGAGAAAAACUAAAUUUUAAGUUUAAGUAAGAAUACUUAAAUUAUUAAGGGGGACGAUAAGACCCUAAAAUCUUAAGCUAAGGCUAAAAAUAGGGGUUAUGGUUAUGUGUUUUAGUCUAGUGUUUUAGCUGGGGUAGUUUUUUUAUUUAAAUUAAGAUUGGAUAGAGCUAAUUAAGGUUGUGCGUUCCUUUAUAUAAGGAUAAGUAGAUUAAGUUACUUUAGGGGUAACAGCGUAAUAUUUUUGGAGAGAUCUUAUUUAUAAAAAUGAUUGCGACCUCGAUGUUGAAUUAAAUAUUUUUUAUGGGGCAGAAAACAUGAGAGACAGGUUUGUUCAACCUAUGAUAUUUUACAUGAUUU
RNAcentral lists this ribosomal RNA (394 nucleotides) under Rhachotropis sp. BOLD:ADF6532. Its description in RNAcentral is "partial 16S ribosomal RNA". The record is from RNAcentral. Lineage: Eukaryota; Metazoa; Arthropoda; Malacostraca; Amphipoda; Eusiridae.